This 120-nucleotide ribosomal RNA is filed under the name uncultured bacterium. RNAcentral describes it as "partial 16S ribosomal RNA". It matches the Rfam family "Bacterial small subunit ribosomal RNA", at positions 28 to 144 of the family's 1533-position model. The record is from RNAcentral.
GAUGAACGCUAGCGGCAGGCCUAAUACAUGCAAGUCGAGGGGCAGCGGGUCCAGCAAUGGAUGCCGGCGACCGGCGCACGGGUGCGUAACACGUAUGAAACCUACCCAUAACUUGGGAAU